CUUCUGUUCUGCUGCAAGCCACUAAUGCUUCUCCAUUUACUUCCUGUCUUCUGAAAAUUCAUUAAAACUUCUUGUAUGUUGAUGAGGGAACCGAGAUCUGAAGAAGAGAAAUGACCUAUCCAAGUUCCCCCAGCUGGGGCCAGUUCUUCUGUUUCACCUAGAAUUGGAUGUUCCAACUCCUGCAGCCGAGGUCCUCUCUUGGGUCCUGAUUUUCCUUGCAAACUGACCAAAGGAAGCUUCCAGAAGCAACUGUCCACUACAAGAGGAAGGUGUGGCCAUGAGGGAAGACGGAGGCUCCAGAGGUCCUGGCUCUGCAGAGACCGCGGUGCUGCCUCCCAGCCUGCCUGAAACCUGACUUGGUUUGCACCAGCGGGUGCCCAGGCCUCCACAGAGUCUUCGGUUCUCCAGGUUUCCCAUGCCGCCAUUCUUGAUCAGUUUUCAUCUCACCUCUGUGGUUUCUACCUCCUGUAGAUGCUUCAACUCCGCCACUGAAGCCAAUGCUGCCUGCUUCCUCCGGUGACAGCAGCAAAGCAGGCAGCAGUGGCCUUGGAGGCUCUGGCUGGACCCACUGUCAUGCAUUGUCUUCCACGGUUACUCAGGCACCUUUCCUUUACCUGGAAAAUAUCUCUGAGCUCAAACAUUCAACUCACAUCUUGGAGCCAUAACAAAUAAAGGAAGACGGCUUUGGUAACUCAGUAAAGCUUGGGGCUGCAGUCUUGAUGAGGAGGGCAAGUUCCGAGUCCAGAUGGCUUGAAUUCCAAUGCAUCUCUG
This 771-nucleotide long non-coding RNA is filed under the name Homo sapiens (human). RNAcentral describes it as "HSALNT0340232". The record is from RNAcentral. Lineage: Eukaryota; Metazoa; Chordata; Mammalia; Primates; Hominidae.